GGGGCUGCUGACGUCAUCUGCAGGCCCUGGAGACGCGACUGCAGUUACCGAGUUUCUAAGGCCUCGUCCCCUGACGGGAAGGCGGCGUUGGGGGGCGGCUGGGUUUACCCUUCGAGAGUCCGUGUGAGAACCGGGACACCUGUCCUGUUGAAAAGGGGGACGCAAAAGCUGAAAAUGCCCGGAAGGAUAUGGCUUCCUUGAACUGCGGGACGUGUAGCUGCAGCUGUGGGGUGGACCAUGGAAACAGGAGUUAGAAAACACCAGGAAAAGGGUUGUUCCCACCUGGAAGAGAAAUGCUAGAGCAACACACCAUCUUCCUCAACAUUAUCAUCUGUCUCUGGAUGACAAUGAAAUUCACAGGACACUGAUUGUCUUUUUAUCCCAUUGGACAUCGUGAUAGUCUACAAUACUGAUAACACCAUGAUGAUAGGAUCUGAAGACCUGGAAGUACCAGAUCAGCAGGAAGAAGAGAUGGAAGCAACGCCAUGGACCUUCACGUCCUUCAGAGUGUGGGUGGGCUUGGGCUUUGCAGUGAGAGCAAGUAUCACCCAGGAUGGAGAUGGGAGGUAAUGGGUGGCCCCGACAGGUGCCUCCUACUGCUGGCAGCAAGGAGAGAGUGAAGAGGCAGAAUUUCCUUGGUCUAGACUAGAGUCUGGGUCAUGGGCAUGGCAGUGCUUGAGCUUUUGACCAGAAGCAAGUGGACAUGGAUUUGAGCUUCGGGUAAGAAGGGAGACUUCUCUCCAGGGACCAUAGGGGCUGGCAGCUGAAGAAGGUGACUUGGCCCCUCUCUAGAGGGUGAACGCAGGAUCAAUUCAAGGCCAUGAAGUGGAUGCAGCUGGGAGAGCCUGCUUGGUGCUUUUAAACCUCAACAUGUCAACCGCAAAUACCUCAAACACUGCUCACACCGUGGUAAAAUCUAGUUGCGAAACCUGUCCCGCGGCAGCCUUCUCCAUCCCAGGUGCCCAGGCCCCAUCUCCUGGGAGCAGGCAGCUCUCCCCACCCCGAUUCAUGUCCCUCCUACAGCCCAAGGCAACUCCCUGCCACCUUGGUGAAUGAAGCACAUCAUGCUGCCCAGGCUUCUGAGCUGUUUGCCGUGUUGCGGAGAUGCAGCCUUCAGCCUUGGAUACCCACCCACUCCUCUACUUGGGCAUUGUUUUCACAGGCUGCUCUUCCCUGUAGCUUCAGAGAAGUAGGUCAAGUAGGUUAACUCGCUUUAAGGGAGAAGUGCCAGGGGUUCAAGUCACCCAGCCUGGAGGCAGGAAUCCUGGGUUCUAUUUUUGGCUUCACAGCUAAUCCGCUGUGUGACAGUCGUUAGGAGCUCAUUCUCCCCUCUGGGUCUCCCUGAGCCCUUCUCUAGGUCCCACAAUUUUUUUUUUUUUCCCUGAAGCUAUAUUCCCUGGACUGUCAUAUUCUUCCCUCUUCCCUCCCUCUGGGAGGUGCUUUAAAGCCGUUGGCUGCUCAAGGCUGGCGCCCUAGGCAAGAGGGGCUGCAGUUGUUGUAGCUGAUGAGGAGGAGAUAAGAGGCUUUUCUGUAGACACAGUUGAGCUGAUGGGCUGUGUGAGGCUGGAGUGCCAGGAAACCAGACUCCUGUAACUACAGGACAGGCCCUGGUGAUGUGAUGAUGGGGAUGUGACGGGGAUGCUGAAGCCUGGAAUGCGAGUGGGGGUUCCUGCGUUUUAUGCAAUGGCUGUAGAUUUCCUCCCACUUCUAAGCCUCCCUUUCUGUGACACGCAGGGAAAUUCAGUCUCUAGUUCAUAUGGAAACUUGGGACCUCACUGUGCUGCUUGCUCUUGGCAGAGGAUAUCAUUUGAGCUGUCAUAGCAGAGGACCACAUUUACCAGGGUGCACUUUGGCCAAAGAAUAGUAACCUUUCUAAGGCUUAGUUCCUCUGGCCUGACCAAACCAGUCCCAGGAGGCCCCUGGGUUCCAGUCAAGGUCAUGGGAGAGGCCCACCAUGGAUGAGGCCUGGGGGAGCAGGGUGGAAAUUAAGUGCCCAGGUAUGUUAUGGAUAGCCUGCAGCCCUCUCCAAUCCCUACCCUCCAAACCCAGUGAAGGGGGACAUGAAACAGGUGAGGCAGAGGAGCAAAUGCGGGUCAAGAAUUCCGAACUAUACUUGACUUACAGUGCAGCUGUGAUGUGCACAUUGGUGUGUGCCACGAGACAGCAUAGUGUGGUGGAAAGAAAAUGGGUUUUGAACAGAGUGUCCUGGGUUUGAAUCUCUGCUUGCCCAUGUACUAGAGAGUAGUCGAACCUCUCUGGGCCUCAAUUUCCCAGAUGUAAAAUGGGAAUAGUAGUACUUACCUUGCACGGGUGCUGAGAGAAUUCCAUGAGACGACACAACCCGUGUAAAGUGCCUGGCAUAGGCAUAUCACAUUAGGGCACUCAGUAAAUGUGAUGUCUUUUCUACUUGC
This is a long non-coding RNA of Homo sapiens (human), 2411 nucleotides long. Ensembl annotates it as DNAJC27 antisense RNA 1. Its record names the gene DNAJC27-AS1. Lineage: Eukaryota; Metazoa; Chordata; Mammalia; Primates; Hominidae. The record is from Ensembl.